UACGAAGGGGGCUAGCGUUGCUCGGAAUCACUGGGCGUAAAGCGCACGUAGGCGGACUCUUAAGUCGGUGGUGAAAUCCUGGAGCUCAACUCCAGAACUGCCUUCGAUACUGGGAGUCUCGAGUCCGGGAGAGGUGAGUGGAACUGCGAGUGUAGAGGUGAAAUUCGUAGAUAUUCGGAAGAACACCAGUGGCGAAGGCGGCUCACUGGCCCGGUACUGACGCUGAGGCGCGAAAGCUAGGGGAGCAAACAGG
RNAcentral lists this ribosomal RNA (253 nucleotides) under uncultured bacterium. Its description in RNAcentral is "partial 16S ribosomal RNA". It matches the Rfam family "Bacterial small subunit ribosomal RNA", at positions 524 to 776 of the family's 1533-position model. The record is from RNAcentral.